Paramormyrops kingsleyae is the source of this 1693-nucleotide non-coding RNA. Lineage: Eukaryota; Metazoa; Chordata; Actinopteri; Osteoglossiformes; Mormyridae. The record is from RefSeq and is a predicted model, not a curated record.
AUCUUCCUAUUUACAUUGCAAACAUGGAGUCCACCACAUUUUGAUCUAUUUAUGUUCUUAUUAGUUGGCAUUAUACGGCGGAUGGACACAGGUUUGUUCCUUGUGCUGCUCACCACACAUAACUGCAUUUGUUAUUCGCAUAUUUUUUACAUAUCAGGUGGGGUGCCCAAAAUCACAUUUCUCCAUUGUGAAAUUCCCUUCUGCUGAGGGUUUUAGAGCAUAAACAAUAAACGAUAACUUAAUUAUAUUUGGGCAAGACAGUUUGAUACAGCCUCCUCUAAAUGUCAUAUAAGAGGAAAACAACAUUACAAUUGAUAACAAAUGAACAAAAUCAAUAUAAAAUCCACGUGAACAGUUUUAAAAUAGGAAAAUGUCACGUUAUUCAUUGACAGGACUCUGUCAUGGGAAUCUGCAUCACACUUAGCCUCUGUGCAGGAAAUUAAAUUCCAUAAUUGGAAUCGGUGUGUCCAUAUUAGGGCCCAGCCCUGUUUUUCUAGACAUAGGGAACCCCGUUGUACUAAACUCUCCUUGCAUUCCAGAUCCUCUCCAUAUCGCAGAGCCCUUUCUACCCGGAGGCUGCCGAUGAAGCCUUCGUCCAAAAAUCCAUCCAAGAAACCACAGUCGGAAUCUACAUCCUCAAAUCUCAGGACAGAUUUGAGGACAUCGGCAUUGUCCUUGAAGGCCAGAAAGUUUUGCAAGGGUUGGAUAAUUUUGCAUUAGCUGUGGCAAUGCUCUUUGGACUAAUGUAUGCCUUAAAUCUCAAUUACCCACCUGAGAUGAAAUACACCUUUGAGGUUCUUCAAAAAAUAGUAAUGGAGCUAGAAGGCUGCAGUUUGUCAAUGAAAGCUCAAGUUCUCAGAAACAGACUCUGUGAGUGAGGUGUUUCUGGUACGGUAGGGAGACGCACAAGCUGGUUCUGCCUCUUGGAUUAAGGACCAUUGUUUUUCAUUUUACACACUCUCAAAGAGAACCUACAAACAGUUCAAAGGUUUACGCUGUAUGUGUGUGUUUGUAUGUAUCUUACUGUUUAAAAAAAAAAAAAACACUGUAAAAGUAUUGUUUGGUUAAAAAUAAUAGUGAUUUGUCUUGGAGUUUCUCAGACUGAAAAAACAAAACAAAAGGAGGCUUUGGUCUAAUUCGUCUGUUCAUCGUUUUUACUCAACCUGUUUGGUUACUCAAAUUGUUGGAUUUUACUGUAUCUGGUAGGGCUGCACGAUAAUCAUCGCGCGAUAUGUAUUGCGCAUCUUGUCAUGUGAAAUCACACACCUGAUGGAAUUUACCACUGAUUACAGAACCGGCUUUACUGACAAGAUGCGCAGUACAUAUCGUGUGAUGAUUAUCGUGCAGCCCUAGUAUCUGGUCUGUUGACAAGAAAUGUCAUAGUUCACAGUCAGCCGUUCAUCCCAUACUUUUAAAAAUGAAUUGAAUUGUUAAAAUUUAUAGUGAUUUCCAUUGUCUUACUGCUUUUUAAAAUGAAAUCCAAAAUUGUAAAGGUACGUUUUGACUACUUCAUGAUUUUCAUUACUGGUCACAUUUUCCACUGCACCUGUUUGACGGCAUCUCGUUUUGCACUUGACAGUGGAUGUUAUUCAUGAAAUUUAUGCUGUUUUUAUUUUCACACAGAGAAGGCUGUGUUUCUGUAACCAGAACUGAGAAAUUGUGCUGUGAAAAAUACACUGAUUUACAGCAAGUA